UUGGAACUCUAUUUGUGUUCACGUCAUUUAAAAUUUGCUCCAAGUCACCUUUUGAUGCUCUUUGAGUAUCUUGAGUGUUUUUAGCCUUUUUUACAUCACAAAACUUAUCUGCACAUUUGGGCCUUCUUUCAUGAGAAACCUAAUCAAAUUUGAAUUUUAUCAUAUAGAUAAUUGGCUCAUAAGUUUCAGAACAAAUUCUGACUUAGGUACAUUGGAUCU
Molecule: long non-coding RNA, 219 nt
Filed under: Carica papaya (papaya)
Lineage: Eukaryota; Viridiplantae; Streptophyta; Magnoliopsida; Brassicales; Caricaceae
Description: long non-coding RNA (CPAP_LNC004229)
Source: RNAcentral